RNAcentral lists this non-coding RNA (27 nucleotides) under Rattus norvegicus (Norway rat). Lineage: Eukaryota; Metazoa; Chordata; Mammalia; Rodentia; Muridae. The record is from RNAcentral.
GGAAACUAAAACAAAGUGAGGGUGUGU